RNAcentral lists this ribosomal RNA (715 nucleotides) under uncultured fungus. RNAcentral describes it as "eukaryotic LSU rRNA". The stretch from base 226 to 379 matches the Rfam family "5.8S ribosomal RNA". Lineage: Eukaryota; Fungi. The record is from RNAcentral.
CGUUAGGCUGGUCUUAGAGCACUUGUUCCCAUAGAUCUUAAUGAUGGGAGGCUCUUAACGGGGCCUCGGGAUCUGAGCAGGUGUGCGUUCGACGAUUGGCCGCUAUUUUCCCAUUGUUAGCCCAACCAAAAUUUUAACCCCUUUGUACUAUUCUGUACUGAACCAAAACUUCUCGAGUUUACUCGCAAGAGUGAGCACGAAAAGAUAUUACGAAACUAAAAUAACAACUCUUAGCAACGGAUAUCUUGGUUCCCGCAACGAUGAAGAACGCAGCGAAAUGCGAUACGUAAUGCGAAUUGCAGAAUUCAGUGAAUCAUCAAAUCUUUGAACGCAAAUUGCACUCUCGGGGAUCCCCGGGAGUACGCUUCUUUCAGUAUCGGUUCUAUCUAACCUCGCCUGCGUUCUUAGGAAUGUUCUGGCGGAGAUUGAGCGUCACACUUUGAACGAAGUUGUGUUGCUUGAAAAGAUAGCUGGAUGCUUCUCGUUCACCCGCUUGGUUCGCUCUUCUCCUCUUCGCGAGGAGCUGAGGCAAACGAAGUGACGUGGUUAAGCUCGCCUUCGUGCGACUACCCCAUCGUCAAUCAUCUUCGUGCGCAUCAGUGUGAUCUUUGGGCAGGUCGAGUANGAAGACUCCGCUUGGAUUAUAUCCAAAUACAAAAAAAAAUCAGAUCUGAAAUGAAGUGAGAGGACCCGCUGAACUUAAGCAUAUCAAUAA